Molecule: ribosomal RNA, 890 nt
Filed under: uncultured bacterium
Lineage: Bacteria
Description: bacterial SSU rRNA
Rfam family: Bacterial small subunit ribosomal RNA
Source: RNAcentral
AGAGUUUGAUCCUGGCUCAGGAUGAACGCUGGCGGCGUGCCUAAUACAUGCAAGUCGAACGGAGAUUGUAGCAAUACGGUCUUAGUGGCGAACGGGUGAGUAACGCGUUGGUAACCUGCCCCGAAGCGUGGGAUAACGGUCCGAAAGGACCACUAAUACCACAUGUGAUCCCGAGGAAUAGAUACUUGGGAUGAAAGGAGCAAUUCGCUUCGGGAGGGACCUGCGUCCCAUCAGCUAGUUGGUAGGGUAACGGCCUACCAAGGCGAUGACGGGUAGGGGACCUGAGAGGGUGGCCCCCCACAAUGGAACUGAAACACGGUCCAUACACCUACGGGUGGCAGCAGUAGGGAAUAUUGGUUAAUGUGCGAAAGCGCGAACCAGCAACGCCGCGUGUGCGAUGAAGGCCUUCGGGUCGUAAAGCACUUUUUGCGGGGAAGAGGAAGGACGGUACCUGCAGAAUAAGUCUCGGCUAACUACGUGCCAGCAGCCGCGGUAAAACGUAGGAGACGAGCGUUAUCCGGAUUUACUGGGCGUAAAGCGCGUGCAGGCAGCAUGGCAAGUUGGAUGUGAAAGCUCCCGGCUUAACUGGGAGAGGUCGUUCAAUACUGCCAGGCUUGAGAGUGGUAGAGGGAAGCGGAAUUCCGGGUGUAGUGGUGAAAUGCGUAGAUAUCCGGAGGAACACCAGUGGCGAAAGCGGCUUCCUGGCCCAUUUCUGACGCUCAGACGCGAAAGCUAGGGUAGCAAACGGGAUUAGAGACCCCGGUAGUCCUAGCCGUAAACGAUGUGAACUUGGCGUUGGCGGGUUUAAAUCCGUCAGUGCCGUAGCUAACGCGAUAAGUUCACCGCCUGGGGACUACGGCCGCAAGGUUAAAACUCAAAGGAAUUGACGG